RNAcentral lists this ribosomal RNA (499 nucleotides) under Russula roseipes. RNAcentral describes it as "eukaryotic LSU rRNA". The stretch from base 171 to 324 matches the Rfam family "5.8S ribosomal RNA". Lineage: Eukaryota; Fungi; Basidiomycota; Agaricomycetes; Russulales; Russulaceae. The record is from RNAcentral.
GGGCUGUCGCUGACCUUCAAAGGUCGUGCACGCCUGAGUCAUCCUCACACAUCCAUCUCACCCCUUUGUGCAUCACCGCGUGGGUCUCCUUUUCACAAAGGAGCUCACGUUUUCACACAAAACUUGAUACAGUGUAGAAUGUUAUCUUUGCGGUCACACGCAAUCAAUACAACUUUCAACAACGGAUCUCUUGGCUCUCGCAUCGAUGAAGAACGCAGCGAAAUGCGAUACGUAAUGUGAAUUGCAGAAUUCAGUGAAUCAUCGAAUCUUUGAACGCACCUUGCGCCCCUUGGCAUUCCGAGGGGCACACCCGUUUGAGUGUCGUGAAACCCUCAAAGAUCCUUUUUAGACUUACUGAAAAGGAUUUUUGGACUUGGAGGUUCAAUGCUCGCCUUUCACCUUUGAAAGUGAGCUCCUCUCAAAUGAAUUAGUGGGGUCUGCUUUGCUCGAUCCUUGACGUGAUAAGAUGUUUUCUACGUUUGGAAUUUGGCACUGUUCC